AGCUCCAAUAGCGUAUAUUAAAGUUGUUGCAGUUAAAAGCUCGUAGUUGGAUUUGUGGCUGUCCCGAGCGGCCUAACACUUAGUGUUAGUGUCAGCUUGGGUCGCCAUCCUUGGGUGGAACCUAUGUGGCAUUAGGUUGUCGUGUAGGGGAUGCCCAUCGUUUACUGUGAAAAAUUAGAGUGUUCAAAGCAGGCUUAUGCCGUUGAAUAUAUUAGCAUGGAAUAAUAAGAUAGGACCUUGGUACUAUUUUGUUGGUUUGCGCACCAAGGUAAUGAUUAAUAGGGACAGUUGGGGGUAUUCGUAUUCCAUUGUCAGAGGUGAAAUUCUUGGAUUUUUGGAAGACGAACUACUGCGAAAGCAUUUACCAAGGAUGUUUUCA
This 379-nucleotide ribosomal RNA is filed under the name uncultured eukaryote. RNAcentral describes it as "SSU rRNA". It matches the Rfam family "Eukaryotic small subunit ribosomal RNA", at positions 587 to 972 of the family's 1831-position model. The record is from RNAcentral.